Molecule: non-coding RNA, 1544 nt
Organism: Schizosaccharomyces pombe (fission yeast)
Lineage: Eukaryota; Fungi; Ascomycota; Schizosaccharomycetes; Schizosaccharomycetales; Schizosaccharomycetaceae
Source: the annotation of a GenBank genome assembly
UCAAAUGUUUCAACGGAAGAUCCGAUUUUGUGAGAACUUGGAUAUAUUUCUCCCGUGGUUAAAAGCAGCUUGUCAGGAGUCUUUUCAAUUUCAUUCCACAGUUUUUCAAGACCACGUGUAGAGCGAAAAAGGUCACGGUUGCACAAUACGUACAGACCAUAUGAGCAUGCUGAAAAGGCUUUAUAAAAUGUUUUUGGAUUCCAAUGAUCAGAGGCCUCUUUAGAUUCAACUGUCGUAAAUAUAACAAAGUUUACCCGUUUAUCGCUUGGUAAUUUUUCCACGGUACCUACAAAAGCAGGCUGACCAAAAAACGAGUUAUGAGAACAGCGUACCGAUAUAAUUUCAUUUAAAAGGCUGACUUGACUCUCAUAAAGCGUACAGAUUACAAUUUCGUUGGUGGGAUAACCUAACAUUCGCAUGUACUGGAAUAAGGCAACUGCGUACUCGGCUUCUCCAAGAUUUUGCUUAUAACCGCUAACGGGUUCUGUUUCUUGAGAACCUUUAAAAGCUCCCACAUUAAUAAAUUGGACCUCAUGUGCAAACCCCGAAUUACCAUAAUCAAGUCUUUUAUUGGGACUAGAAUCCACAGUUUUGAUGUCCAAAGGAUAAAUUGAUGAACAUAGAGAACUGAUAGAUUCUCUAACAUUGUAUUGCGUAUUAAGGUCAAUAAUUCUGGAUUUCAAAUACCGCAAACGUUUGAAAAGUGAACCAUUUGACGUAUUAUUUAUAUCCUGAUUCCCAGAGGUAAGAUAUUGAUUACCCAGAAGAACAAGGCGAUCAAAACCAGUUGGUUCACAGUUUGAAAGUAGUAUGCUAGUGAUAGAGCUUUCACUUAUAUUUUGUGAGUUCAUAACAAUUAAAUUGUUAAAGCAAAAUCCCUUUUCUUUCAAAGUCCCUAAGCGUGUACUUAAGCUCGUCCAAGUGCAUCCGAUAAUCCUAGAUUGUUGGCAUAAUGCAUACAAUUCUUGAUCUUCAUAAUAUCUCAGUAAUCCAAAAGGCCGGAUCUCUUCCAGCUGUUGGAACAUAUAUUCUAACUCCCCGUAUAACUUUGUCGCAUAAUCGAAAAAAUUAUCUUUAUUAUACGUUUCUAUCGGACGCUUAGAUUUGUCACCGAAAUACGAAUGGAAAGGGAACCUGUUAUAGGCAUCCACAGAAUCCUUAUCAUCUACCGUGUUCAAGUACUUUUCCCAAAGUCGCUUAAUAUAAGCAUCCCUAAAAUACAAAGCCGUAUCUGGGCUGGCGUCAUGAGAACCUGGAGCCUGGAUUGAAGCAGCUAGGCGACCGAUUUCUCGUAGAAGACCAGGAAGCUUAGAUAUCCAAGACGAUAAAGUACCAUAACGUUCCAACGUUUCGUCUUUUCCUUCAUCAGAUAGAUAUAAUAGGUGCCCUUGGUGAAAACAUCUAGCUUUUUCCAGUAAGGUAAACAAAGUAUUCAUAGAGAAAUUGGAGUCAGAAAGUACAACGGUUCUAUCAUUGGGAGAUGUGUCUUGUAAAACCUCUAGAAGUUUGCAUACCAAAACAUGUUUUCCACAACGAGUUGGACC